This 554-nucleotide ribosomal RNA is filed under the name uncultured archaeon. RNAcentral's name for it is "bacterial SSU rRNA". It matches the Rfam family "Archaeal small subunit ribosomal RNA", at positions 325 to 879 of the family's 1478-position model. The record is from RNAcentral.
ACGGGGUGCAGCAGGCGCGAAAACUUUACAAUGCGGGAAACCGCGAUAAGGGGAUACCGAGUGCCAGCAUAUUAUGUUGGCUGUCCACAUGUGUAAACGGCAUGUGUUAGCAAGGGCCGGGCAAGACCGGUGCCAGCCGCCGCGGUAACACCGGCGGCCCGAGUGGUAAUCACUUUUAUUGGGUCUAAAGGGUCCGUAGCCGGUUUGAUCAGUUCUUCGGGAAAUCUGACAGCUCAACUGUUAGGCUUCCGGGGAAUACUGUCAGACUUGGGACCGGGAGAGGUAAGAGGUACUACAGGGGUAGGAGUGAAAUCUUGUAAUCCCUGUGGGACCACCAGUGGCGAAGGCGUCUUACCAGAACGGGUCCGACGGUGAGGGACGAAAGCUGGGGGCACGAACCGGAUUAGAUACCCGGGUAGUCCCAGCCGUAAACGAUGUUCGCUAGGUGUCAGGGACGGUGCGACCGUUUCUGGUGCCGUAGGGAAGCCGUGAAGCGAACCACCUGGGAAGUACGGCCGCAAGGCUGAAACUUAAAGGAAUUGGCGGGGGAGCAC